UUCCAUGGUUCCGCAACAUCUUCCGCCGUGGUCGCUUGGUUUCGCGCGCUAUCUCAAAGAGUGUUCAAUGGAGUGUUUUCAGAGUUGGGCGAGCGUAGCCGGUCUGCGUUUCAAUCGAAGAAGAAGCACAUGGUUGUCCAAGGAGAUCACUCAGAUAAACAAAGAACAACAUGCAUACUACAGUCCCUCCUGAGCUGGAAUGCCGCAGGGAACUUCAGCUGGUUUGGUGCAAAGGGAAAAAAAUUUGCCAAGCUGCAUCUGUGCAAGCUAAUGUAUGAAUACCCAAAACCGUUCAUCCCACCAACCCCUGUGUAAGCAGCUGCAUCUUUUCCUCAGGUGGCACGUAGAAGGAAGUUCCGUUCCUGUGAUCACAUUGACCAACUUUCAGCAUGGGAGUCCCAGUUGUCAAUAGAAAAUGGCAACCAAGUACUCCAGGGUGAAAAUCAAGUGUUUCCAGUUGAAAUGGUGGGCCUGCUGGUCAAACAUAGCUCCAGGACCUACAACAGUCCUUUGUGGUAGGCCAGCCUCAGUUCAGUUGUAAUUUUAAUCAGUAACUUUUGAAAGCACCACAAAUCAGUUGUGUGUGUGUAUUGUGAGAAAUUGUUCUAUAGGCUAAUGUGAAGAGUGCUAUAGUUUUGGCAGCCAUUAUUUAGGCAAGAUAAGUCUUCCAAAACAUCGGUUAUGGGAAAGAUUUAUUCAUAAAAGAGCAUUAUGAAUGCACCUUUGCUACCUUUUAAACGUACAAUUCUGUCCAGGACUUGGCCUGUUCUUUCUCUGCAAUGUUAGCUCUAUCUGAAAAUCAAGUGUGCUACAUACAUGAUGCUCUUAAAAAAAGCUAAUCAGUCCCUGUACCCUUUUAAGAACAUUUUAAUUACCAUUUUAGCUGAAACAAUUUCAUUUUUGUUGCAUUGAUAAUUAAGAUGUGUGUGAGUUUUCUGUAAACAUGUUGUAUUUACUAGGAACCCAUUGUAUUAGUCGUAGUCAUGGCAACAUAUUCAUCAGAUUUGUAUUUAUUAAAUAAACUGCAUUUUUACUGCUCCCUUAAGUAUCUGUGAGGCAUCAUGGAAGGAUUUGUGUCUGUUUAGAGCCCAUAAAAAUCCUUUCUGCAUGCUGUUUUGCCUUGCUUAAUAUGCGCUUACCUCACACUGUUGCACUCGGUUCUGUGGCCAUUAGAACUUCAUGCAACCAUUUAUAGUGCAGUUUACCUUGAGGAAAAGUGCUAUUGAUUGACUGAAUUAAGUUGUGUGGAUUUUGCCUAUGAAUGCAUGCAUUUUUGUACCAGUACAAGUCUGCUGGCAUAUAAGAUGCAUAUGCAGUGCUAUCUACUUAUGGCCUGUAGAACAAGGAAAAUUGAAUUGUACAUUUGUUGCAGCAUUUGAGAUAGAUAUGCUUAUUAAGUGCACUGCUACAGCCAGUAUUUUAUUUAUUUAUUUAUUUCCAAUACUGUUAGCCCUUGCGGGCUGUUACAGGGGUGGGGGAAAAAGAAUUUACCACAAACAUGUAACACCAGUUCCGCAAUAAACAAACAAUGCAUUCAGCAAACACA
This is a long non-coding RNA of Dermacentor andersoni, 1546 nucleotides long. RefSeq lists it as uncharacterized. The record is from RefSeq and is a predicted model, not a curated record. NCBI's taxonomy places the organism in Eukaryota, Metazoa, Arthropoda, Arachnida, Ixodida, Ixodidae.